This 364-nucleotide long non-coding RNA is filed under the name Carica papaya (papaya). RNAcentral describes it as "long non-coding RNA (CPAP_LNC009476)". Lineage: Eukaryota; Viridiplantae; Streptophyta; Magnoliopsida; Brassicales; Caricaceae. The record is from RNAcentral.
CCCACAUUACCCUUUUUGCUCAACGCCGACACCCACUUCCCUCUCCAUUGAACUGACUUCACACUUCCCUCUCCCUACUUAUAACCUCCACCAAACUAAAUCUCCUCUACUCCAAGCAUGGCUGAUCCAAAAACAUAUGGUUGCGACUUGCUGGCGAGGUAGAAGAAGAAACACAAUUGCCUCCAGCAGAAGCUAAACCACAGGUCACACAAGAGGAAUUAACCCAAGUUAGUAGUUCAAGCUGUGAAGGUCACCCCACACCCCAAGACUAGAUGAUAUUUCUCAGCGCAUCCCACCUCCAACUUAAAUAACUAGGAGAGGAAAUCUAUCCCUUCAUUAUUUAUUUUAUUUCAUUACUCAUUCU